This 253-nucleotide ribosomal RNA is filed under the name uncultured bacterium. RNAcentral describes it as "partial 16S ribosomal RNA". It matches the Rfam family "Bacterial small subunit ribosomal RNA", at positions 524 to 776 of the family's 1533-position model. The record is from RNAcentral.
UACGAAGGGGGCUAGCGUUGCUCGGAAUCACUGGGCGUAAAGGGUGCGUAGGCGGGUCUUUAAGUCAGGGGUGAAAUCCUGGAGCUCAACUCCAGAACUGCCUUUGAUACUCAAGAUCUUGAGUUCGGGAGAGGUGAGUGGAACUGCGAGUGUAGAGGUGAAAUUCGUAGAUAUUCGCAAGAACACCAGUGGCGAAGGCGGCUCACUGGCCCGAUACUGACGCUGAGGCACGAAAGCGUGGGGAGCAAACAGG